CUCAGACUGACUCUGCUCUUCCAAAACACCAGAAUCAGGGUUCUCGAACCUCAGAAUCUGGGUGAACAAGAGAUGAGGAAAGUGAGACUCCAAUUCCUCUGGGUAAUUCACCUGUGCAGAGCCAGCAUUGAAAUCCAGCCAGCCCCAUCAGGCAUACUACUCCGUCUACUAACGUCUAUUUGAAUGUUUCCUAGUCAGGGACCUGCAACCCUAAUUUCGAGACCUCGAAGGGGUCUCAACCUACAGUUUGGAAAAUGCAGUCCUAGAACAUCGAUGUGAAUAAACUUUGCCCUUCCCUCAA
This is a long non-coding RNA of Suricata suricatta (meerkat), 301 nucleotides long. RefSeq lists it as uncharacterized. The record is from RefSeq and is a predicted model, not a curated record. The transcript is spliced from 2 exons. NCBI's taxonomy places the organism in Eukaryota, Metazoa, Chordata, Mammalia, Carnivora, Herpestidae.